GCGGAAAUAGUUUAAUCGGUAAAGCAUGACUUUGCCAAAGUCAUUAUAAGGGUUCAAGUCCCUUUUUUCGCU
Molecule: transfer RNA, 72 nt
Filed under: Pyropia kanakaensis
Lineage: Eukaryota; Rhodophyta; Bangiophyceae; Bangiales; Bangiaceae
Description: tRNA-Gly
Rfam family: tRNA
About the family: Transfer RNA (tRNA) molecules are approximately 80 nucleotides in length. Their secondary structure includes four short double-helical elements and three loops (D, anti-codon, and T loops).
Source: RNAcentral